RNAcentral lists this unclassified non-coding RNA (461 nucleotides) under Hevea brasiliensis (rubber tree). Lineage: Eukaryota; Viridiplantae; Streptophyta; Magnoliopsida; Malpighiales; Euphorbiaceae. The record is from RNAcentral.
UGUUUAUUGCAGCAAUGUUGUUAUUCGAUAUGUCACCAUAUUGGCUCCAGCUGAUUCACCAAAUACCGAUGGAAUUGAUCCAGACUCAAGCUCCAAUGUCUGCAUUGAAGAUUCCUAUAUUUCAGUAGGGGAUGAUCUAGUAGCUGUAAAGAGUGGCUGGGAUCAAUAUGGAAUUGCUUAUGGUCGCCCUAGUCAUGGCAUAACCAUCCGAAGGAUAACUGGAUCUUCUCCAUUUGCUGGAAUUGCAGUUGGAAGUGAAACCUCUGGUGGCGUAGUGGACGUUUUAGCUGAGCAUAUUAGUCUUUUCAAUAUGGGAGUUGGUAUUCACAUUAAGACAAACGUUGGCCGAGGAGGGAUGAUCAGAAACAUUACGGUCUCAAAUGUCUACAUGGAAAAUGCACGGACAGGGAUUAAGAUUGCAGGUGAUGUUGGGGAUCAUCCAGAUGAAAAUUUCAAUCCAA